This 216-nucleotide unclassified non-coding RNA is filed under the name Hevea brasiliensis (rubber tree). Lineage: Eukaryota; Viridiplantae; Streptophyta; Magnoliopsida; Malpighiales; Euphorbiaceae. The record is from RNAcentral.
CCGUAACUAGUAAGGGAAAACGCUAGCGCGCAAGGGCUGAAAAGCCAGCAAAGGCUUACGUAAGCGAAGGCUAAUGGAUGUCUCACACUUGCGUCUCUAAGGUCCCUUUCUUUGCUACUAAGAACCUAACAGAACUUUUCUAAAGGAAGACUUUUUCGUAGUCGUUAACGAGUGAAAGCCACUUAGCUUAACACAUUCAAUCCCUUUUGAACAGGC